GAGCUGAGUGUCGUCUGGACCUACCUGCCCCGCUUCUUUGACAUGUUUCCAUAAAUUCACACAACCCUGUGGGACACAACACAGGAGGGUUAGUGAGCGUGGCGAGGCCAGCCGACCCGACAGAUACAAACAAGGUCAUUUGUCAUCUGGAAGCCAACGGACGGACUCGCGUCCGCCGGCAGGUCCUCUGUCCUCGGCUCAGUCGACCGACGACAUGCAAAUCAAGCCGCAGUACCGGAUGUAAACAAUGCAACUGCGACGAGCCCAUGCUAAUGCUAGCUCGGGUAGCUCGGCGCUGGUACACAGUCCAGGUCCGAUGUGUUUACACAGCGAACUACACGGAUCAUGAACACGUUACUUCACACGGGCUGUCUGUGGAGCUGUCGACGUGUGGACACGCCGACGGAAAUGUCCACGGUGCGGCCACAAUCGGAAACAGGAGCAGAUUCCAACAGAACGUAGGCAAGGUACACGGAAACGACUCUGCUGUGUGCACUGCAACUCCCAGAAGGCUGCGCGCGGCCCGCAAAGCACUCUGGGAUCUGUAGUCGACUUCAUUCGCCUUCUUUCAGUCGUCGACUGCUGCAAAUGUCCACAUUUUCCCCUCCACGCCGCCCCGCCCAGUGAGGGGCGACUACAAGUUAUGAAUGAACAAAGAGUUUCUGAGGCUGGCAUUUGUAUUCAAAUCACAUUGUUUUGAAACAAAAUACAUUUGGAAUUUAAUAUUAUAUGCCCAAUGUAUGUAUUGUUAUAUUUGUGUUCAUCAUUUGUAUUAUGGUUGUUGUUGUUGUUGUUGUUUGCUUGUUUGUUUUUUUACCUGCCUAAAACACACAAUCCGUUUCACUUGUGUUUUAGCAAUAGGUAUGACCAGACUUUCUGAAUGGUUGUAGAUUAGAGUGAAAUAUAAUAAAAGAUAUUCUUUUUAAA
Long non-coding RNA from Scophthalmus maximus (turbot), 927 nucleotides. RefSeq lists it as uncharacterized. Lineage: Eukaryota; Metazoa; Chordata; Actinopteri; Pleuronectiformes; Scophthalmidae. The transcript has 3 exons. The record is from RefSeq and is a predicted model, not a curated record.